AGGGGGACGAACAGUUGGAAACGACUGCUAAUACCGCAUACGAUCUAAUCUCGGCAUCGAGGAUAGAUGAAAGGUGGCCUCUACAUGUAAGCUAUCACUGAAGGAGGGGAUUGCGUCUGAUUAGCUAGUUGGAGGGAUAACGGCCCACCAAGGCGAUGAUCAGUAGCCGGUCUGAGAGGAUGAACGGCCACAUUGGGACUGAGACACGGCCCAGACUCCUACGGGAGGCAGCAUG
RNAcentral lists this ribosomal RNA (235 nucleotides) under uncultured bacterium. RNAcentral's name for it is "partial 16S ribosomal RNA". It matches the Rfam family "Bacterial small subunit ribosomal RNA", at positions 135 to 353 of the family's 1533-position model. The record is from RNAcentral.